AAAAGGGGGGCAACUCCCUGAGUACAGCGGCGCACGGGUGAGUAACACGUGGGUAAUCUGCCCUGGAGUGGGGAAUAACACCGGGAAACCGGUGCUAAUACCGCAUACGAUCACAGAGUCUGCGGACAUUGUGAUGAAAGGAGCAAUUCGCUCUAGGAGGAGCCCGCGGCUGAUUAGCUAGUUGGUGAGGUAAUGGCUCACCAAGGCUACGAUCAGUAUCCGGUCUGAGAGGACGGUCGGACACACUGGAACUGAGACACGGUCCAGACUCCUACGGGAGGCAGCAGUGGGGAAUUUUUGGCAAUGGGGGCAACCCUGACCAAGCAACGCCGCGUGGGUGAUGAAGUCUCUUGGGACGUAAAACCCUUUCGACGGGGACGAAAGCCGCAAGGUUUGACGGUACCCGUAGAAGAAGCCCCGGCUAACUCCGUGCCAGUAGCCGCGGUAAUACGGGGGGGGCAAGCGUUGUUCGGAAUUACUGGGCGUAAAGGGCGCGUAGGCGGUUCGCUAAGUCGGAUGUGAAAACUCUGGGCUCAACCCAGAGCCUGCAUCCGAAACUGGCGGGCUAGAGUUCUGGAGGGGGUAGCGGAAUUCCUGGUGUAGCGGUGAAAUGCGUAGAUAUCAGGAGGAACACCGGUGGCGAAGGCGGCUACCUGGACAGAAACUGACGCUGAGGCGCGAAAGCUAGGGGAGCAAACAGGAUUAGAUACCCUGGUAGUCCUAGCCCUAAACGAUGGAUACUUGGUGUGACGGGGAUUGAAUCCCGUCGUGCCGAAGCUAACGCAUUAAGUAUCCCGCCUGGGGAGUACGGUCGCAAGGCUG
RNAcentral lists this ribosomal RNA (822 nucleotides) under uncultured Bacillota bacterium. RNAcentral's name for it is "bacterial SSU rRNA". It matches the Rfam family "Bacterial small subunit ribosomal RNA", at positions 70 to 896 of the family's 1533-position model. Lineage: Bacteria; Bacillati; Bacillota. The record is from RNAcentral.